CCAAAAUGUAGGUGCUUUGGUUCCUGCGAUGCGAGUCGCAGGCUAAGAGGGAAGCCGGUGAGAUACCGGCGCUGCCCCCGCAACUGUAAGCGGCAAGUGUUGGCCUUUUACCCACUGAUGCAUCUGCAUCGGGAAGGAUGGCAACGCAUUAGAGCCGUGAGCCAGGAGACCUGCCCGAGCACGAUACGACAA
RNAcentral lists this non-coding RNA (192 nucleotides) under Roseobacter sp. The record is from RNAcentral. Lineage: Bacteria; Pseudomonadati; Pseudomonadota; Alphaproteobacteria; Rhodobacterales; Roseobacteraceae.